GAUAAAUGAUCGCGGCUGGCAGGCCGAAAGGCGCCAGACGAGGAAAGUCCGGGCUUCACAGGGCAGGGUGCCGGAUAACAUCCGGUGGAGGUGACUCCAAGGACAGUGCAACAGAAAUGAACCGCCGACAUUAGGUCGGUAAGGGUGGAAGGGCAGUGUAAGAGACUACCGCCCUCCCGGUAACGGGAGGGGCAUAUGUAAACCCCAUCCGAAGCAAGACCGCAACGAAGCAUAUGGCGGCCCGUCAGCUUCAGGUAGGUCGCUUGAGCCUGUCGGCAACGACAGGCCUGGAUAGAUGAUCAUUCACGACAUAACCCGGCUUAUCGUCCUGCUUAU
This 336-nucleotide RNase P RNA is filed under the name human gut metagenome. Its description in RNAcentral is "Bacterial RNase P class A". It matches the Rfam family "Bacterial RNase P class A". From Rfam's summary of the family: Ribonuclease P (RNase P) is a ubiquitous endoribonuclease, found in archaea, bacteria and eukarya as well as chloroplasts and mitochondria. Its best characterised activity is the generation of mature 5'-ends of tRNAs by cleaving the 5'-leader elements of precursor-tRNAs. The record is from RNAcentral.